GAUCCGCUGUGUGGAAGGCCCAAGAAGGGUCGGGGGUGCGUGGCGGAAAGUGAGCGUGUGUGUACAGUGCAGGGCGUCUGAGGUGGUGGUGGGGCGGAAGGCAGGCAACUCAUACUUACCUGGCAGGGGAGAUACCAUGAUCACGAAGGUGGUUUUCCCAGGGCGAGGCUUAUCCAUUGCACUCCGGAUGUGCUGACCCCUGCGAUUUCCCCAAAUGUGGGAAACUCGACUGCAUAAUUUGUGGUAGUGGGGGACUGCGUUCGCGCUUUCCCCUGGCUUAUUUUUAGUAGAAGAGUAGACUCCUGGAGUGCGUCUGGCCGCCCGGUCAUGUUGCUGUAAUGUGUUGGGUCCGUUUGUUUUAAGCCUCCUGUAUGUACAGGAUGAGGCCGUGAAGCAUACAAAAGCGCCUUAAGGGCAUAGGUGGUGGGUAAGUUUGAAUCUCGCUACGACCCGCGAGCUUGCGGCUGGAGAACUGCCAGUCAGUCUCCGAGUUCACCUAGGUUGCGGCACGACUGUGAAGAGUGGUUCAGAAAGAUGUGAGCGGCCCCAAUCGCGCUUGAAAGCCAGCUCGCUCGUUGAACGCUCUUUCGGCCUCUUGAAAAGUUUGUGCGUGUGAGGGAAGGCUUCUUCGUGCGCAGGAUCCCAGCGGAGAAACCCUUACCUGAGCCAAACACACGAAGUCGGUUGAGGUGUCGGGAGGCGCCCCGUGACGAACUGCUCGUCGGCCUGUCUUGUGGGAGUCUGCCACUAGCUAUUUUCCCAGCAGUGUCCUGCUUUCAGAGGCUUCAUUUCUUGCGUGGUCAGCUGCCUUGCUUAUUUAUACGUGGCCUUAGUC
Bubalus bubalis (water buffalo) is the source of this 835-nucleotide long non-coding RNA. RefSeq lists it as uncharacterized. The record is from RefSeq and is a predicted model, not a curated record. NCBI's taxonomy places the organism in Eukaryota, Metazoa, Chordata, Mammalia, Artiodactyla, Bovidae. The transcript is spliced from 2 exons.